GAUGUAUUUCUAAUGUUUAGGUGAACCGGUUUACAAUGCAGAGAUUGCGACAAGAAAUAACGAAGAACAACGUGUGUAUGUGUGCCAAUUACCAUGGAUAAUGCUCAAUUCUUCUGUUUCUAAAUGGCCCUUCACACUACAGGAAAGUGACAAUCAGUAAAAGUUAAGGUCAGACUUUGGAGAAGGGCGUUAGAGGAUUUGAGUAGAAGCUGGCGAGCGGUGUCCACAGAUUGUACAGCGACCAAGCGGCGAUGAAGAAUCAAUGUGUGGAUCUAUCAUUACCAUAUGGACUAGGCCUCUGCUUCUGGUUAUUACAAGCUAGGUAGUAUUGUGACAGUGAUCGGAAACUUCUACACGACUCAUCACCAUCAUGUCCAUGCCCCAGAAUUGGGUGAGUGCUCAAGGAAGAAUUUUGUAGUUCCACUGUUGGAUUCCAAGCAGGCAAUUCAUGAUCAGCAUUGCGCAAGCUAUGGAGUGAUUGACAGGUGGAGUGACUGCUGGGGUCAUGAACGAAGAAACAAUGAAGUCACUGGACAGCAAAACAGAUUAUUUAUUCCUAAUGUCGUUGCUCUUGCAAAAUUGCAGGCCUAUUGGUUAUGUGGUGGUUAUGUUGGUUUUAUCUUCCGGUUGGUUGUUAGUCCCCUACAAGAGUUGUCAUAAUAUGAAAAGGCUCCAAAAGGUGUCACGGUCAGGAAUCUUUUUCCAGGCAUCCGGUGAUGAUUAGGUAACCAAACCAUAUCACAGGAUGUGUGUUUAUGUGGUCUGGCAAAGUAAUGCUCUUCUUUUGUGGUAUGUGGAAAGUAAUGCUCUCUUUGUUAUUCAUUUUUGGAGCCGUUAAAUAUUUUUUCCCUCAUAAUAGUUUUAGAUGUUAUGCCUUAGCAUAUUAUAUCAACGAGAAGUGAAUGUGUUUUAGCUCGUAUCUUCUAAAUUAGUGUCUUCCACCGAUAUCAGAAAUUAAUGCUUCAUAUCAUGUUUU
Long non-coding RNA from Triticum aestivum (bread wheat), 976 nucleotides. RefSeq lists it as uncharacterized. The record is from RefSeq and is a predicted model, not a curated record. The transcript has 5 exons. Lineage: Eukaryota; Viridiplantae; Streptophyta; Magnoliopsida; Poales; Poaceae.